This is a long non-coding RNA of Carya illinoinensis, 191 nucleotides long. RefSeq lists it as uncharacterized. Lineage: Eukaryota; Viridiplantae; Streptophyta; Magnoliopsida; Fagales; Juglandaceae. The record is from RefSeq and is a predicted model, not a curated record. The transcript is spliced from 3 exons.
CUUUUGUCGUCUCUUGUUAUCAUCUCUUCUGCACUAUUACUAUUUAAGGCGUUGAGGGAAUUUAAUCGUAAAAGCUUUUGAUAGCAGAACGAAAGGCGAUAUUUUUAUAUAUUUCAGUCAACUCAACUAUGCAUUGCAAGAAAGACGAUUGUUGCAGAAUGAAUGACUCAUCCAAGGUUAGUAAAUUAAUC